CCCAGUAGGAGAAGCAGAUCAGAUCACAAACAAGUCAAGAAAUAGUACCAAUCAUUCCAGAUGGUGUUGAGGGGGACAAAGCAAAAGAACUGUGGGCCAGGACAGAGUCAUGGGGAGACCUCCCCAUGACUGGGGAGUCAGGGACUGCCUCUCCAAAGAGGAGACCCUGAAGAUGAGCCCCUGGAGGGUAAGGAGGAGCUGACUGGGGGACUCCCAGGAGUAAGAUGGAAGUCUUGGGGUACAGGAGUUCAGUUAAGAAAGUUAAUGGAAGGGACGCUUGGGGGGCAUGGUUGGUUGAGCGUCUGACUCUUGGUUUCAGCUCAGGUCAUGAUCUCAGGGUCACGAUCUCAUGGUCGUGAGAUCAAGCCCCACGUCGGGCUCUGAGCUCAGCGCAGAGUCUGUUUGAGAUUCUCUCUCUCCUUCUGCCCUUCCCAUUCGUGCUUGAUCUCUUUCUCUCUUUCUGAGAUAAAUAAAUCUUAAAAAAAAAAAAAAAAGAAAGAAAGAAAGUUAAUGGAAAAGCUAUGCCAAUGACUCAGCUGACUGGAGCUUUGUGCUGAGGAGCCCAGGGUUGUGUUCUAGAAACCUUAACCUGGAGCUCUAACUCAGGCUAGCCCCGGAAAACACAGCUUUGGUUCAAAAGAGAACAGCUGGGCAAGUAAGGUGUUUCCACGGUUGGGCGUCCACCUCCACAGAGGUAUCUGGAGUUCUUCCCGAGAGCCAGCGCUCUCUCGGCCCUGGGGAUCCGGAGGCAAGUGGGACCACGAGGAGCUCACGCUCUACUGGAAGCAAUCAGUCAGAUGAAUGCCUGCAAGUUGUUUGGAGACAUUCAACAAGAAGUCUGCAAAGGAGGGUUCGCUCUGCAGAGAGCAGGGGUCGCAAACUACAGCCUGCGGACCAAAUUCUGCCCACAGAGCCAAGCCCGGCCGGCUGUUUUUGCAUAUAAAGUUUUAUUGGCACACAGCCAUGCUCGUUGGUUUGCACACUGUCUGUGGCUGCUUUCGCACUACAAAGGCAGAGUUGAGCCCAUGUGACAGAGCCCAUGUGGCCCACAAAGCCGAAAAUAUCUACUCUGUGGCCCUUACAGAAAAAGUUUGCCAAGC
RNAcentral lists this long non-coding RNA (1100 nucleotides) under Ursus maritimus (polar bear). RNAcentral's name for it is "lncRNA (ENSUMAG00000010318.1)". Lineage: Eukaryota; Metazoa; Chordata; Mammalia; Carnivora; Ursidae. The record is from RNAcentral.